GCGCGUCGUUGCGGAAAUGACGUGAUCCAGGCGGAAGUGACGAGCCGUUGUGAUGGAUGAGCCGCUGCUGCUGCUGUGAUGCUCCUCUUCUGAAGGAAAGCUCAUUUCUCCAGCAACAUCCAGCAUGAACUGAUCGCUGCACGGACUGACAGCUGUGAUUGAGUGUGUGUGUGUGUGUGUGUGUGUGUGAUGGCUGGGAAGGUGAAGUGGGUGACGGACAUGGAGAAAUCGGUGCUGAUCAAUAACUUUGAGAAGAGAGGAUGGAUCCAGGUGACGGACAGCGACGACUGGAACUUCUACUGGCAAGAGCUCGUUUCAUUUCAUCCGUUCACACUGACACUGCAAAGCUGAAGUACACACUGAAGCACUUGAUCAGAUCAGUGCUAGGGCUGAAUCCAGUUUCACACACACACUACUGGUGUUCAGAUGAACUGUUUGAGCCGUUCACGGUGGACUGUGGUCGUACGACUGUGUCCUGAGGGAAAUACUACUGUGCUGUAUGAGUGGGGGAUUCACACAUAAACUUGCUUUAAAUAUUUCACUGAUGUUUUCAGACAUUACAAACAAAGUCUGGAGGAUUCGUGAACAUUACUUUAAAAACAUUUACUUACAAUUUAAGACUUUUUUUAACAUAAUUUCCAAAACCUGUCCUAAAAAAUCUCCUUAACGCAACAGUCUGAAAACAUCAACACUGUUAGAAUAGCAAACAUUUCCACAUCUUUAAAAAUGGGUUAUUAACAGUCAUGCACAUUUACUUUAUAAUGAUAUCAAAUAAUAUUUAUUUUUAAAUUAUUUUUUUGUGUGAUUUCUCUCAUUUCCCACAACCCCUUGCUCCUACAAUUUACAAUCUACAAUUUUUAUAUAAUUCAAUGAAAAUAUAUUUUUCAAAAUGAUAUGACCUGAAAGAUCAUAAUGUGUAGAUUCUGUACAUACAUUUAUACCUAAACUAAUAUUUUCUAUUAAUUAAUUUAACAUUUAAUGAACUUCUGUUGUGGUGAUGAUACACAAGUUAUGGAUAUGAGGUUGAUUAUUUCAGUAAUGAUAAUAAGUAUACUAGGCUUUUGUUAAAAACAGAAUAAUAUUUUCAGGUUCAGAUCAGUUUUAUUUUGUAGUGCUUCAAAAAUACACAAUCAAAGAACAAAACAAAGAGUGGCAGGUUGUAGAUCUGGAAUAAUGGCUUUAGUUAGUUCACCCAAAAAUGAAAAUUAUGUCAUUAAUGAAACUGAUCACUUAAAAACACACCUUACAUGUAUUUCCUAUAGUAGUAACUAUAAAUCAAGCAGAAUUACAUGCAAUUAACCCUCAACCAAAUCCUGAUCCUUUAAAAAAAAAAAA
This is a non-coding RNA of Pimephales promelas (fathead minnow), 1335 nucleotides long. The record is from RefSeq and is a predicted model, not a curated record. NCBI's taxonomy places the organism in Eukaryota, Metazoa, Chordata, Actinopteri, Cypriniformes, Leuciscidae.